RNAcentral lists this transfer RNA (85 nucleotides) under Arhodomonas aquaeolei. RNAcentral's name for it is "tRNA-Tyr". It matches the Rfam family "tRNA". Rfam says of the family: Transfer RNA (tRNA) molecules are approximately 80 nucleotides in length. Their secondary structure includes four short double-helical elements and three loops (D, anti-codon, and T loops). Lineage: Bacteria; Pseudomonadati; Pseudomonadota; Gammaproteobacteria; Chromatiales; Ectothiorhodospiraceae. The record is from RNAcentral. RNAcentral also lists the same sequence under 12 other names.
GGAGGGAUACCCAAGCGGUCAACGGGGGCAGACUGUAAAUCUGCUGGCUCAGCCUUCGGAGGUUCGAAUCCUCCUCCCUCCACCA